UACGUAGGGUGCGAACGUUGUCCGGAAUUAUUGGGCGUAAAGAGCUUGUAGGCGGUCUGUCGCGUCUGCUGUGAAAGUCCGGGGCUCAACUCCGGAUCUGCGGUGGGUACGGGCAGACUAGAGUGAUGUAGGGGAGACUGGAAUUCCUGGUGUAGCGGUGAAAUGCGCAGAUAUCAGGAGGAACACCGAUGGCGAAGGCAGGUCUCUGGGCAUUAACUGACGCUGAGGAGCGAAAGCAUGGGGAGCGAACAGG
RNAcentral lists this ribosomal RNA (253 nucleotides) under uncultured bacterium. RNAcentral describes it as "partial 16S ribosomal RNA". It matches the Rfam family "Bacterial small subunit ribosomal RNA", at positions 524 to 776 of the family's 1533-position model. The record is from RNAcentral.